RNAcentral lists this ribosomal RNA (467 nucleotides) under uncultured bacterium. Its description in RNAcentral is "partial 16S ribosomal RNA". It matches the Rfam family "Bacterial small subunit ribosomal RNA", at positions 28 to 507 of the family's 1533-position model. The record is from RNAcentral.
GAUGAACGCUGGCGGCGUGCUUAACACAUGCAAGUCGAACGGAAAGGCCCAAGCUUGCUUGGGUACUCGAGUGGCGAACGGGUGAGUAACACGUGGGUGAUCUGCCCUGCACUUCGGGAUAAGCCUGGGAAACUGGGUCUAAUACCGGAUAGGACCACAUUUUGGAUGGUGUGGUGGAAAGUUUUUCGGUGUGGGAUGAGCUCGCGGCCUAUCAGCUUGUUGGUGGGGUAAUGGCCUACCAAGGCGUCGACGGGUAGCCGGCCUGAGAGGGUGUACGGCCACAUUGGGACUGAGAUACGGACCAGACUCCUACGGGAGGCAGCAGUGGGGAAUAUUGCACAAUGGGCGCAAGCCUGAUGCAGCGACGCCGCGUGGGGGAUGACGGCCUUCGGGUUGUAAACUCCUUUCGCUAGGGACGAAGCGUUUUUGUGACGGUACCUGGAGAAGAAGCACCGGCUAACUACGUG